Long non-coding RNA from Phycodurus eques (leafy seadragon), 1289 nucleotides. RefSeq lists it as uncharacterized. Lineage: Eukaryota; Metazoa; Chordata; Actinopteri; Syngnathiformes; Syngnathidae. The record is from RefSeq and is a predicted model, not a curated record. The transcript is spliced from 3 exons.
AAAAGAAUGGGUAGAGCAAAGUGUGGCCCACCAUUGAGUGGUGGUGAAAAGCAGAGACGCUACCAAGCCAAGCGUGAUGCUGAUGUACAAAGGAGACAACAGUACUUACUCAAAGAUAGGCAGAAAUGGAAAAAGUUGUAGAAACAGGGAAGAAGUUGCUUCAAAAAGACCGUAGUGAGAGAGAACAGCGAGCCCAACAAAACUCCGUCCUCAAAAAGGCCCAGCAGAGGAUGUACUUCCUGCGGCUUCUGAGAAAGCACGGCCUGCCACCGGAGCUGCUGAGACAGUUCUACACAGCGGUCAUCGAAUCAGUCCUGUGUUCUUCCAUCACAGUCUGGUUUGGCUGCUGCUACAAAAAAGGACAAACUCCGAUUGCAACGGACAAUCAAAACUGCUGAAAGGAUUGUCGGUACCCCCCUACCCACCAUUGAAGACUUGCACGCUGCCAGAACUAAGACAAGGGCGUUCAAAAUCCUCUCGGACCGUCUGCACCCCGGUCACCAGCUCUUCCAGCUCCUUCCCUCAGGAAAAGUGAUGCUGGGAGAAAGAAGAAAAUGGGCUGCCCCCCAAAAAAAAAAUCAAAAAUCAAAACGGAAGCAAGAGGAACUAGAAGAAAAGUUGAGAAGAGUAGAAAAGAAAACAGAAAAAUACAGGAAACUAUAAUUGAAAAUGGCUCGUCCAUCUCCAAGAGCCAAAGUCAACAAAAUACUCAGGGAAGCUUCACACACAUCCCUAAGAAGAUCCCUGUUGUUCCAUACGGCAGUAGCUGAGGAAAUGCGUACAAAGUACAAAGAAAUCUAAGCGAGAUUGCAACAGUAAUCAUCUGUAUGAGGGUCACAUCUCCCCAGGGAUCAUCCAAAAGGUGAAUGAGACCCAGUGCCAGGUAAAAUGCAUGCACAGAGUGGGGGAAAACCGCUUUUUCUGGCCAUUGAGGGAGGAUGUCCUUUGGUAUCCCUUAGGAUAUGCUGACCAUCAUUCCACUGCCACAAAAUGUUACCUCACACCACCUGGCCAUCGCAGAAGACCAGUGGAACACUCUGGUCAGCCAGGAAAAGUGAAGUGGAAUAUUAGAAGACCGAUGUUCUAAAGCAGAUGACAAGUUUUCAGUUAAAUGUGAGAGUGAAAUGUUUUUAGCUCAGUGUUAGAGUGAAUAUGUUGAUAGGCUAGGGCAGCCAGCCAUCAAAGCAAGUUUAAAAGCAAUGUUCUGAACCAAAGGGCAAGUUUUAGCAAAUUUUCUUUAAUUAUUAUUAUUUCUUCUAUUUCGGGGUUAUUUGAGGAAAAGUGUAACA